RNAcentral lists this ribosomal RNA (579 nucleotides) under uncultured bacterium. RNAcentral's name for it is "partial 16S ribosomal RNA". It matches the Rfam family "Bacterial small subunit ribosomal RNA", at positions 355 to 923 of the family's 1533-position model. The record is from RNAcentral.
UGGGGAAUUUUGGACAAUGGGGGAAACCCUGAUCCAGCCAUCCCGCGUGUGCGAUGAAGGCCUUCGGGUUGUAAAGCACUUUUGGCAGGAAAGAAACGUCGCGGGUUAAUACCCCGCGAAACUGACGGUACCUGCAGAAUAAGCACCGGCUAACUACGUGCCAGCAGCCGCGGUAAUACGUAGGGUGCAAGCGUUAAUCGGAAUUACUGGGCGUAAAGCGUGCGCAGGCGGUUCGGAAAGAAAGAUGUGAAAUCCCAGAGCUUAACUUUGGAACUGCAUUUUUAACUACCGGGCUAGAGUGUGUCAGAGGGAGGUGGAAUUCCGCGUGUAGCAGUGAAAUGCGUAGAUAUGCGGAGGAACACCGAUGGCGAAGGCAGCCUCCUGGGAUAACACUGACGCUCAUGCACGAAAGCGUGGGGGAGCAAACAGGAUUAGAUACCCUGGUAGUCCACGCCCCUAAACGAUGUCAACUAGCUGUUGGGGGCCUUCGGGCCUUGGUAGCGCAGCUAACGCGUGAAGUUGACCGCCUGGGGGAGUACGGUCGCAAGAUUAAAACUCAAAGGAAUUGACGGGGGUCGA